GAUCCUCUAAGGUCUAUACUUGGUUUGAAUGUAUUGAGUCAAUUUCUGACUUUAUAGCAUUCAAUCAUUUUUCGAAGCCGAUGUCAGACAUCGCCUCAUCAUAGAUUUUAGGAUCAUUUUCAUGACUCUUAUCUCUUAUGAGGAAUAUUUUCUCUACAUCCUCUAUAAGCAUACCCAAGUACCUUUCAAGAGGAUGAAAGAUCCUACUUGAUCUAUGAGGU
This 221-nucleotide long non-coding RNA is filed under the name Elaeis guineensis (African oil palm). RNAcentral's name for it is "long non-coding RNA (EGUI_LNC014943)". Lineage: Eukaryota; Viridiplantae; Streptophyta; Magnoliopsida; Arecales; Arecaceae. The record is from RNAcentral.